GCAGUCACACUGGUAGAAAGACCGCCGCGUGUGAAAAAGGUUGGAGUGUGCUGCAAAACACAAAAUGCAAUAAAAUAAAUUGUACAAUACUGCGGCUUCGCGCGUCGUGUGAUAACAAAGAUAAUGCAAUAUUAAAAGAGCGAGAGAAACGUGACCCGGGCAAUUGUUUUUUUGCCUGCUACAUAUUUGAGAGUAUAUGAAAGUGUAUAUAUAUUAUAUAUAUGUAUAUAUGCGCUAAUGUGUGUGAGUGUGAGCAGCAGCAAUCGUAGUAAAUAGUAUUGGUAUCCGCCUCCGCGUUGCAAUAGUUGCCGUCGCGUUUUUUGUGUGUUCGCCUGCUUCAACAAUAAUUAAAAAAAAAAUUCCAAUUACAGUUAGGGCUCUUCUAUUUUACCUUGUUAUCGCCAAAUCUCUCACACACCCCUUUCCCCAUCGCCCACUCGCGCACACGGAAGAGUCGCCGCAGUCGGCAUCAGCAAAAAACCGCUGUCGCCGUGCAGUAAAUGUGCAUAUUUUAAGUUGCCAAAAUGUCCUCAACUCUCCUUUAAAUAAUCUAUAAAAAAAGUGUGAAAAAGAAAACGUGAACAACGAUAGAAAGAAAGAAAGCGGGAAAGAAAGGAAAACAACAAAUGGCUCACAAUUGAAUGGCGGCCAUCGUGGCCCCCAGCGGCAUCCAUUGAGCAAUCAACACCAUUUCACCCACAUCAAAUCAUCAGGCAUCACCACCUUUACCACGGAUACCACCUCAGAGACCGCCAACGCCACUCGCCAUUCGCCACUGCCACCAGCACGCACCACUCCACACUCCACUGAGCUCCAUCUGCCUCCAGCAACGGCAAAAGCAGCCAUAAGCAGAAUUGGAAUCAGAAUCAGCGACACUGCGAGUGCAGCUGCUCAAAUUAUUUAAACCACUCGCUGCCGUAGUCCAUCAAUGAGCGUUUCGAUGUCACUGGUACAGGGUGGUGCUGCCGGUGGUGCGCCACAGGGCGCCAGCGCAAUAUUGGCCGCAGCGGCCCCCUAUUACCAGCCGCCAGCUGUGCCGCAGGAUGUCCAGCCGGAUCGUCCCAUCGGCUAUGGUGCAUUUGGAGUAGUAUGGGCUGUAACAGAUCCGCGGGAUGGAAGACGUGUGGCCUUGAAGAAGCUGCCAAAUGUGUUCCAGUCUUUAGUCUCCUCGAAGCGCGUGUUCCGUGAGCUUAAAAUGCUCUGCUUUUUCAAGCAUGAGAAUGUUCUUUCUGCCCUGGACAUCUUGCAGCCUCCACAUUUGGAUUUCUUUCAGGAAAUAUAUGUGAUAACGGAGCUGCUGCAAUCGGAUCUGCACAAGAUAAUCGUUUCGCCACAGCACCUAUCCGCCGACCACAUUAAGGUGUUCCUCUACCAGAUACUGCGUGGCCUCAAGUAUCUGCACUCGGCUCGCAUCCUUCAUCGCGACAUCAAGCCAGGAAAUCUCCUGGUCAACUCGAACUGCGUGCUCAAAAUAUGCGACUUCGGACUGGCCCGCGUGGAGGAGCCGGAUCAGGCGAAACACAUGACCCAGGAGGUGGUCACCCAGUACUACCGCGCCCCGGAGAUCCUCAUGGGGGCGCGGCACUACUCGUCGGCGGUAGACGUGUGGUCGGUGGGCUGCAUAUUCGGGGAGCUGCUGGGCCGACGCAUUCUGUUCCAGGCGCAAAACCCCGUCCAACAGCUUGAGCUGAUCACGGAGCUGCUGGGAACUCCCACCAUGGAGGACAUGCGGCACGCCUGCGAGGGGGCGCGCACCCACAUGCUGCGCCGCGCACCCAAGCCACCCUCUUUCUCGGUGCUGUACACCCUCAGUUCCCAUGCCACACAUGAGGCGGUGCACCUGCUCUGCCAGAUGCUUGUCUUCGAUCCGGACAAGCGAAUUUCUGUCACAGAUGCCCUAGCGCAUCCAUAUCUGGACGAAGGACGACUCCGCUACCACUCGUGCAUGUGCAAAUGCUGCUUUACUACCUCAGCUGGGAUGCGCCAAUACACAGCCGACUUUGAACCCUCCGCCGGCCAGCCCUUUGACGAUCUGUGGGAACGUAAGCUCACUUCCGUGCAGCAGGUCAAGGAGGAGAUGCACAAGUUCAUUGCCGAGCAACUGCAGACAGGUCGGGUGCCGCUCUGCAUCAACCCACAGAGUGCGGCCUUCAAGAGCUUUGCCAGCCAAUGAGAAUGAGAAUAUCUACUACUACCACUACCACUACUACCACCACCACAAGUUGCACUGCUGCUCCUGCCGCUGCUCCACUCCGCCGCCGCCUACUUCUUCGCUGCCCUCAAAGAACCGAAAUCGAAACAAGACUACAUCUCGAGAGUCCAAGAUCCUAGGCGCGCGAUCUCCCACUAGAACGAAUCGAAAUAGCAAUGCAGAGUCACAAGAUACUCGAUAUACUUUAUCUGCAGAACGAUCGAAGAAAAUGAAAUCCAAGCCAAGCCAAGAUACAUAUACCAAGAUACCAAGAAAAAUACAAUACAGAUACAGAGGCCAAGCGCCUGGCAGCAGUUGUGUCUCGACUCCUCUUAGUUCGACUGUGGCUCAUCCUUCAGAAUUGCCGCCAUCGCCGCAUCAAUGGGAAUGACGGCAAAAUGAGGCCAUUGCUGCCUAAAAGCGAAAUAAAAGCAAGUGUAAAUCAGCAGCCAAACCAUCAGGAAGGAGCUAUCAGACGCAUCUGCAGUAGGAGUCCCAGAACCUGAACCGAACCCCAAGAGACAACCCAGAUAAAAUUCAGCCAGGAACAACGAUUCAAAAUGUUGUGCAAGCGCCAAACAACUUUCAAGUCGGCGUUCGUCUGUUUAAAGCAUUCCACCACCGAAAUUAACUACAUAAAAAAGCAAAACAAAUAAUUUAUAUUUAAUAAUACUGUAGA
RNA transcript from Drosophila subobscura, 2870 nucleotides. It is a transcript of the gene named serine/threonine-protein kinase NLK, with no coding region annotated. NCBI's taxonomy places the organism in Eukaryota, Metazoa, Arthropoda, Insecta, Diptera, Drosophilidae. The transcript has 9 exons. The record is from RefSeq and is a predicted model, not a curated record.